AUGACCUUACUUGAAUAGGAUCUGUUCUAUAGGCUCGUACUACUGUAGGGCUGACAACGGAACCGGUAACGGAACUACCGGACCGGCACCAACCGGAACCGGCGUCCACCAGGCGGAAAAAGGCCGGAACCGGGACUGCAUCGGUACCGGUAGUUUUGGAAUUUAUACGUUGU
This 173-nucleotide small nucleolar RNA is filed under the name Solanum tuberosum (potato). Its description in RNAcentral is "snoRNA Plant_U3". Lineage: Eukaryota; Viridiplantae; Streptophyta; Magnoliopsida; Solanales; Solanaceae. The record is from RNAcentral.